UGGGGAAUAUUGGACAAUGGGGGAAACCCUGAUCCAGCAAUGCCGCGUGAGUGAUGAAGGCCUUAGGGUUGUAAAGCUCUUUUACCAGGGAUGAUAAUGACAGUACCUGGAGAAUAAGCUCCGGCUAACUCCGUGCCAGCAGCCGCGGUAAUACGGAGGGAGCUAGCGUUGUUCGGAAUUACUGGGCGUAAAGCGCACGUAGGCGGUUACUCAAGUCAGAGGUGAAAGCCCGGGGCUCAACCCCGGAACUGCCUUUGAAACUAGGUAACUAGAAUCCUGGAGAGGUGAGUGGAAUUCCGAGUGUAGAGGUGAAAUUCGUAGAUAUCCGGAAGAACACCAGUGGCGAAGGCGGCUCGCUGGACAGGUAUUGACGCUGAGGUGCGAAAGCGUGGGGAGCAAACA
This 402-nucleotide ribosomal RNA is filed under the name uncultured Sphingomonadaceae bacterium. RNAcentral's name for it is "bacterial SSU rRNA". It matches the Rfam family "Bacterial small subunit ribosomal RNA", at positions 355 to 774 of the family's 1533-position model. Lineage: Bacteria; Pseudomonadati; Pseudomonadota; Alphaproteobacteria; Sphingomonadales; Sphingomonadaceae. The record is from RNAcentral.